Molecule: ribosomal RNA, 192 nt
Filed under: Betaproteobacteria bacterium
Lineage: Bacteria; Pseudomonadati; Pseudomonadota; Betaproteobacteria
Description: partial 16S ribosomal RNA
Rfam family: Bacterial small subunit ribosomal RNA
Source: RNAcentral
AGCAUGCCGCGGUGAAUACGUUCCCGGGCCUUGUACACACCGCCCGUCACACCACGGGAAUCGAUUGGUCCCGAAGUGCGUGAGCUAACCCUUUUGGGAGGCAGCGUCCUAAGGAAUGGUCGGUGACUGGGGUGAAGUCGUAACAAGGUAGCCGUAGGGGAACCUGCGGCUGGAUCACCUCCUUUCUAAGGA